RNAcentral lists this ribosomal RNA (511 nucleotides) under uncultured bacterium. RNAcentral's name for it is "bacterial LSU rRNA". It matches the Rfam family "Bacterial large subunit ribosomal RNA", at positions 677 to 1181 of the family's 2925-position model. The record is from RNAcentral.
CCGAGUCUUAAUAGGGCGACUAGUUGCAUGCCGUAGACCCGAAACCGGGUGACCUAUCCAUGGCCAGGUUGAAGCGAGGGUAAAACUUCGUGGAGGACCGAACCACGUUGCUGUUGAAAAAAGCAUGGGAUGAGCUGUGGAUAGCGGAGAAAAUUCCAAUCGAACUCGGAGAUAGCUGGUUCUCCCCGAAAUAGCUUUAGGGCUAGCGUCGGAUAUGUGUAGUGGAGGUAGAGCACUGAAUGGGCUAGGGGGCAUAUCGCUUACCGAACCUUAUCAAACUCCGAAUGCCAUAUACAUUAAGUCCGGCAGUCAGACUACGAAUGAUAAGAUCCGUGGUCAAAAGGGAAACAGCCCAGACCGUCAGCUAAGGUCCCAAAGUGUAAGUUAAGUGGAAAAGGAUGUGGGGAUUUCUAAGACAACUAGGAUGUUGGCUUAGAAGCAGCCACUCAUUUUAAAGAGUGCGUAAUAGCUCACUAGUCGAGAGAUCCUGCGCCGAAAAAUGUACCGGGGC